This 822-nucleotide ribosomal RNA is filed under the name Escherichia coli. RNAcentral's name for it is "partial 23S ribosomal RNA". It matches the Rfam family "Bacterial large subunit ribosomal RNA", at positions 418 to 1239 of the family's 2925-position model. Lineage: Bacteria; Pseudomonadati; Pseudomonadota; Gammaproteobacteria; Enterobacterales; Enterobacteriaceae. The record is from RNAcentral.
CGGGACACGUGGUAUCCUGUCUGAAUAUGGGGGGACCAUCCUCCAAGGCUAAAUACUCCUGACUGACCGAUAGUGAACCAGUACCGUGAGGGAAAGGCGAAAAGAACCCCGGCGAGGGGAGUGAAAAAGAACCUGAAACCGUGUACGUACAAGCAGUGGGAGCACAGAGCAAUCUGUGUGACUGCGUACCUUUUGUAUAAUGGGUCAGCGACUUAUAUUCUGUAGCAAGGUUAACCGAAUAGGGGAGCCGAAGGGAAACCGAGUCUUAACUGGGCGUUAAGUUGCAGGGUAUAGACCCGAAACCCGGUGAUCUAGCCAUGGGCAGGUUGAAGGUUGGGUAACACUAACUGGAGGACCGAACCGACUAAUGUUGAAAAAUUAGCGGAUGACUUGUGGCUGGGGGUGAAAGGCCAAUCAAACCGGGAGAUAGCUGGUUCUCCCCGAAAGCUAUUUAGGUAGCGCCUCGUGAAUUCAUCUCCGGGGGUAGAGCACUGUUUCGGCAAGGGGGUCAUCCCGACUUACCAACCCGAUGCAAACUGCGAAUACCGGAGAAUGUUAUCACGGGAGACACACGGCGGGUGCUAACGUCCGUCGUGAAGAGGGAAACAACCCAGACCGCCAGCUAAGGUCCCAAAGUCAUGGUUAAGUGGGAAACGAUGUGGGAAGGCCCAGACAGCCAGGAUGUUGGCUUAGAAGCAGCCAUCAUUUAAAGAAAGCGUAAUAGCUCACUGGUCGAGUCGGCCUGCGCGGAAGAUGUAACGGGGCUAAACCAUGCACCGAAGCUGCGGCAGCGACACUGUGUGUUGUUGGGUAGGGGAGCGU